GAAUAAACGUUGGCGGCGUGCCUAACACAUGCAAGUCGAGCGAGAAAGUUCCUUCGGGAGCGAGUACAGCGGCGUACGGUUGAGUAACACGUGAGAAUCUCCCCUUCAGUGAAGAAUACCUUCGAGAAAUCGAAGUUAAUGCUGCAUAUGUCUUAACAAAGAUAAAGAUGGCCUCUUUGCUGUCGCUGAAGGAUGAGCUUGCGGCCUAUCAGCUAGUUGGUGAGGUAAUGGCUUACCAAGGCUAAGACGGGUAGCCGGCCUGAGAGGGUGAACGGCCAGACUGGAACUUAGACACGGUCCAGACUCCUACGGGAGGCAGCAGUGGGGAAUAUUGCGCAAUGGGCGAAAGCCUGACGCAGCGACGCCGCGUGAAGGAUGAAGGUCUUCGGAUUGUAAACUUCUGUUAAGUGGGAAGAAAAGUCUAUAAGUAAUAUGUAUAGAAAAUGACGGUACCAUUAGAGAAAGCACCGGCUAAUCUCGUGCCAGCAGCCGCGGUAAUACGAGAGGUGCAAACGUUAUUCGGAUUUACUGGGCGUAAAGGGUGCGUAGACGGUAUGAUAAGUCAACUGUUUAAUCUUCUGGCCUAACCAGAAGUAUGCGGUAGAAACUAUUGUGCUAGAGGAUGGAAGAGAGAAGUGGAAUUCUCGGAGUAGCGGUAAAAUGCGUAGAUCUCGAGAGGAACACCGAUGGCGAAAGCAGCUUCUUGGUCCAUUUCUGACGUUGAGGCACGAAAGCGUGGGGAGCAAACAGGAUUAGAUACCCUGGUAGUCCACGCUGUAAACGAUGAUCAUUAGACGUUAUUUUUGCUCUGCAAGAGUAGUGUCGUAGCUAACGCGAUAAAUGAUCCGCCUGGGCAGUACGGUCGCAAGACUAAAACUUAAAGGAAUUGACGGGGGUCCGCACAAGCGGUGGAACAUGUGGUUUAAUUCGACAAUACGCGAGGAACCUUACCUAGGUUUGACAUGCAUUUGACCGCUGUAGAAAUAUGGUUUUUCAAAUCUUUGAUUUGGACAGAUGCACAGGUGCUGCAUGGCUGUCGUCAGCUCGUGUCGUGAGAUGUUUGGUUGAGUCCUCUAACGAGCGCAACUCCUACCAUCAGUUGCCAUUUCGUAAGAAAGCACUCUGAUGGGACUGCCUAGGAAACUAGGAGGAAGGUGGGAACGACGUCAAGUCAUCAUGGUCCUUAUGUCUAGGGCAACACACGUGUUACAAUGGUCGGUACAAUGAGCUGCAAACCUGUAAAGGGAAGCUAAUCUUAUAAAGCCGAUCUUAGUUCGGAUUGGGGUCUGCAACUCGACCCCAUGAAGUUGAAAUCGCUAGUAAUCGCAUAUCAGAACGAUGCGGUGAAUACGUUCUCGGGCC
RNAcentral lists this ribosomal RNA (1362 nucleotides) under uncultured soil bacterium. Its description in RNAcentral is "bacterial SSU rRNA". It matches the Rfam family "Bacterial small subunit ribosomal RNA", at positions 27 to 1380 of the family's 1533-position model. The record is from RNAcentral.